GGGUGUAAAGGGCAAACUUCUUGAAAAGGAAGGACGCAAAGCCGUGAAUCUAAGGCGGGAAAUACUUGCUAUGAUUGUCUGGUUGCCAUA
This 90-nucleotide non-coding RNA is filed under the name Bacillus sp. UNCCL13. Its description in RNAcentral is "GEMM cis-regulatory element". It matches the Rfam family "c-di-GMP-I riboswitch aptamer". From Rfam's summary of the family: GEMM was predicted in a large-scale screen for bacterial structured RNA regulatory elements. Genes associated with GEMM are involved in a diverse array of functions, including chemotaxis regulation, signal transduction, secretion and chitin. The record is from RNAcentral. RNAcentral also lists the same sequence under 1 other name. Lineage: Bacteria; Bacillati; Bacillota; Bacilli; Caryophanales; Bacillaceae.